UGUGCGUCCAGUUGGAGGUCUUCUUAGGGGUAUACUGGGGAAAUGAUCUGUGGACUAAGAAUUAUGAAUUAAUAACUCAAAUGCUGACGAAACCGGAUUGGCUGACUUCGAUGAUGACACCUGCCAUUAUGCUUCCUGAGCUGCUGCUUCACAACUCUCUCACCAAUCAAAUGCUGACUGAAAAUCAUGAAUCAUACUGAAUGGGC
This is a long non-coding RNA of Mauremys reevesii (Reeves's turtle), 206 nucleotides long. RefSeq lists it as uncharacterized. The record is from RefSeq and is a predicted model, not a curated record. The transcript is spliced from 3 exons. Lineage: Eukaryota; Metazoa; Chordata; Testudines; Geoemydidae.